Ictidomys tridecemlineatus (thirteen-lined ground squirrel) is the source of this 920-nucleotide non-coding RNA. NCBI's taxonomy places the organism in Eukaryota, Metazoa, Chordata, Mammalia, Rodentia, Sciuridae. The record is from RefSeq and is a predicted model, not a curated record.
CAACAAGUGACACUGGGAAGUAGCAAGGAAACUUCUAUUCAGAAAUACACCACUGUUAUUUACCUAUGUUUUUCCUUUGCUUUUUUUCCUUCAAGAUUUCAAAGAUCAGUCAAAGAGUCACUUCAGAAAAGGGCCAUAUUGGUAUUUGGUCUACCAAGCCAGCUGCACUGAAUUGAAGAACAAGAUGGGGGAAAGCACCAGAGAACAAGGAAAGAGACAUCUACAAGAGGAGAGAAAUUGAUCUCAAGAAACUACAAAUGAUACAGAGUAACUGAAGUUAUUAUGCCUUUAGUUCCCCGGAGAAGCUAUGGAAUUCCAGCUCUAUAUAAAGAAGGGAGAGAACAGGAUUACUUAGCAUUUUUUGGUUUUACUUCAUUUCAUCCUGCACUAAAACAAGGGCUGUGCUUCUAGGAUUCUGUCUGGUCGAUGAAUAGGAGAACGAUAUAGAGUUGAAAAUGAUGAAGCACACUUGACUUUGGUAACAGGUCAGAAAUUCCAAGUUUCUAAGGACAGCAAGGAACACAGGUUAAGGGUGAUACUUUUUCAGAAGUUCUAAAUCUUCAGGAAGAAUCCUAUUCCUCCAGAACCUAUUCCUAUAAUAGGAUUAUCUAGAGGAAAAGAGCCAACAACAACAACAGCAAAUAUAUAUAUAUAGUGUUCUCAUAUUUAUGAGAGAGAGAGAGAGAGAGAGAGAGAGGAAGAAGAGGAAGAGGAAAAAGAAGAAGGAGAAGGACAAGAAGGAGGAGGAGCAGGAAUAAUUAAUGGUAUAGCCCUAGUCUGGGACAGAGGCCUGGAACCUCUCUGAAGAGUCACUGGUCAGAGUCUGCAUGAAGACUGGAAAAGCUGGAGUCCUGUGUCCUCAGGUGAUCUCAGCAGCAGUGGAAGCCACCCACUAAAAAGGAACGGUGCUUUCUUUCUCA